RNAcentral lists this ribosomal RNA (732 nucleotides) under uncultured organism. Its description in RNAcentral is "bacterial SSU rRNA". It matches the Rfam family "Bacterial small subunit ribosomal RNA", at positions 561 to 1281 of the family's 1533-position model. The record is from RNAcentral.
UAAAGGGCGCGUAGGCUGCUUGGCAAGCCUGGUGUGAAAGGGCACAGCUUAACUGUAGGAGUGCGCUGGGAACUGUCUAGCUAGAGUUUCGGAGGGGAAGCUGUAAUUCCUGGUGUACGGGUGAAAUCUGUCCAUAUCAGGAAGUACAUCUGUGGCGGAAGCCGAGCUUGCGGCCCGAGCCUUACGCUUGUGCUCGAAGCGUGAGGAGCGAACAGGAUGUAGAUAACCUGCUAGUACACGCCGGUAAUCGAUGUCCAUCUAGCGUAUCGAUCUCUGAUAACGGUUCGGGUCCGAAUCACACGCGAUCAGUGCAACGCCUGGAGACUACGCUCGCGAAGGAGGACACUCGAAAGAAUAGACGUGGGACCCGCACAACGCGGUGCGAGCAUCAGGAAGCAGAGGAUGAGACGCGAGGAACCGUACCAGGGUUAGACAUACGGCGGACUGCGACAGAGAUGUCACUUCCCUUCGGGGCCAGUCAAACAGGUGCAGCAUGCCCAUCGUCAGCUCGUCCUUUGACAUCUUGGGUCUAAGUCCCGCAACGAGCACAACCCCUACAAGCUGUUACCAGCACGUAAUGCUCGGCGACUCAGACGGUACUGCCGGUGACACACCGGAGGAAGGUGGGGACGACGUCAAGUCAUCAUGGCCAUUAUGUCCUGGGCUACACACAUGCUACAAUGGCCGGUACAGAGUGUAGCCAAAUCGCGAGAUGGAGCAAAUCACAGAGAG